GGAGAUGCAGAUUGGGUUCAUCAAAGAUGAGAAUUAUAUAUAUAGGGUUUACAGAGGGGCUACAAAUCAGGAACAUUUAUGAUCAAGCGAUUUAAGAUGGGAACAUGAAGAGUUCACCGGUGAAAAAAUAGAUUACGAACAGACACACGGCGCAACUCUGUAACUCAAACUUGUUUGAGACAAUGAUGAAAAGAACUCAAACUCAUGUUAA
This 211-nucleotide long non-coding RNA is filed under the name Brassica napus (rape). RNAcentral describes it as "long non-coding RNA (BNAP_LNC013120)". The record is from RNAcentral. Lineage: Eukaryota; Viridiplantae; Streptophyta; Magnoliopsida; Brassicales; Brassicaceae.